This 600-nucleotide ribosomal RNA is filed under the name uncultured fungus. RNAcentral describes it as "eukaryotic LSU rRNA". It matches the Rfam family "Eukaryotic large subunit ribosomal RNA", at positions 134 to 750 of the family's 3401-position model. Lineage: Eukaryota; Fungi. The record is from RNAcentral.
CGGUCCGAGUUGUAAUUUGUAGAGGAUGCUUCGAGCAUGGUCUGGCCUAAGUUCCUUGGAACAGGACGUCAUAGAGGGUGAGAAUCCCGUAUGCGGCCAGGUGCCUACGCUCAUGUGAAGCUCCUUCGACGAGUCGAGUUGUUUGGGAAUGCAGCUCAAAAUGGGUGGUAAAUUUCAUCUAAAGCUAAAUAUUGGCCAGAGACCGAUAGCGCACAAGUAGAGUGAUCGAAAGAUGAAAAGCACUUUGGAAAGAGAGUUAAACAGUACGUGAAAUUGUUGAAAGGGAAGCGCUUGCAACCAGACUUGCGCGCGGCCGAUCAUCCGGUGUUCUCACCGGUGCACUCGGCCGUGCUCAGGCCAGCAUCGGUUUUGGCGGCUGGAUAAAGGCCCUAGGAAUGUAGCUCCUCUCGGGGAGUGUUAUAGCCUAGGGUGCAAUGCAGCCUGCUGGGACCGAGGACCGCGCUUCGGCUAGGAUGCUGGCGUAAUGGUUGUAAGCGGCCCGUCUUGAGACACGGACCAAGGAGUCUAACAUCUAUGCGAGUGUUUGGGUGUCAAACCCAUACGCGUAAUGAAAGUGAACGGAGGUGAGAACCCUUAAGG